AGAUGAUGUGAAAUGCCUUGGG
RNAcentral lists this non-coding RNA (22 nucleotides) under Arabidopsis thaliana (thale cress). Lineage: Eukaryota; Viridiplantae; Streptophyta; Magnoliopsida; Brassicales; Brassicaceae. The record is from RNAcentral.